RNAcentral lists this ribosomal RNA (253 nucleotides) under uncultured bacterium. RNAcentral's name for it is "partial 16S ribosomal RNA". It matches the Rfam family "Bacterial small subunit ribosomal RNA", at positions 524 to 776 of the family's 1533-position model. The record is from RNAcentral.
UACGUAGGGUGCGAGCGUUGUCCGGAAUUAUUGGGCGUAAAGAGCUCGUAGGCGGUUUGUCACGUCUGCUGUGAAAUCCCGAGGCUCAACCUCGGGCCUGCAGUGGGUACGGGCAGACUGGAGUGCGGUAGGGGAGAAUGGAAUUCCUGGUGUAGCGGUGGAAUGCGCAGAUAUCAGGAGGAACACCGGUGGCGAAGGCGCCACUCUGGGCCGGUACUGACGCUGAGGAGCGAAAGCGUGGGGAGCGAACAGG